UCCGGUUGAUCCUGCCGGCGGCCACUGCUAUCAAGUUCCGACUAAGCCAUGCGAGUCAAGGUAUCGUAAGAUGCCGGCGAACUGCUCAGUAACACGUGGAUAAUCUAACCUUGAGUAAGGGAUAACCUCGGAAAACUGAGGGUAAUACCUUAUAAUUGCUUGAAACUGGAAUGUUCAGGCAAUAAAAGUUCCGACGCUCAAGGAUGAGUCUGCGACCUAUCAGGUAGCAGGUGGUGUAAUGGACCACCUAGCCUAAGACGGGUACGGGCCCUGGGAGGGGUAGCCCGGAGAUGGACUCUGAGACAUAAGUCCAGGCCCUACGGGGCGCAGCAGGCGCGAACACUGUGCAAUGCGCGAAAGCGCGACACGGGGAGCUUGAGUGUCUUGGCAUAGCCAAGACUUUUCUCAUUCCUAAAAAGCAUGAGGAAUAAGUGCUGGGUAAGACGGGUGCCAGCCGCCGCGGUAACACCCGCAGCACAAGUGGUGGUCACUUUUAUUGAGCCUAAAGCGUUCGUAGCCGGUUUUGUAAAUCUUUAGAUAAAUCCUGAAGCUUAACUCCAGAAAGUCUAAAGAGACUGCAAGACUUGAGAUCGGGUGAGGUUAAACGUACUUUCAGGGUAGGGGGUAAAAUCCUGUAAUCCUGGAAGGACGACCAGUUGGCGAAAGCGUUUAAACUAGAACGACUCUGACGGUAAGGAACGAAAGGCUAGGGUAGCAAACCCGGAUUAGAUACCCGG
Molecule: ribosomal RNA, 737 nt
Filed under: uncultured Ferroplasma sp.
Lineage: Archaea; Methanobacteriati; Thermoplasmatota; Thermoplasmata; Thermoplasmatales; Ferroplasmaceae
Description: bacterial SSU rRNA
Rfam family: Archaeal small subunit ribosomal RNA
Source: RNAcentral